This is a long non-coding RNA of Lynx canadensis (Canada lynx), 266 nucleotides long. RefSeq lists it as uncharacterized. The transcript has 3 exons. NCBI's taxonomy places the organism in Eukaryota, Metazoa, Chordata, Mammalia, Carnivora, Felidae. The record is from RefSeq and is a predicted model, not a curated record.
AAUGGGGCUAGACUCAUCCUGGAGCGGCCAUAAUUCCAGCGGGACAGACAGACAGACAACAGUGAACCUCAUGAGCAUGAACGGGGCCUCCCUGCUGCGUCCUCGCCAAGCUGGCAGCCUUCCGUGCAUCCUCAAGCGUGGAACGCGCCGCCUCCGAGACAGAAGGGGUCUGCCAGGCGUCCUUCCCCGGGGGGAGCAGCCUUGCGUGGACCCUUGGACCCUGUAUUUUUCACCUCAUUUCACAGUGGAGGAGACCAAGGCUCAGA